This 443-nucleotide long non-coding RNA is filed under the name Takifugu rubripes (torafugu). RNAcentral describes it as "lncRNA (ENSTRUG00000028320.1)". The record is from RNAcentral. Lineage: Eukaryota; Metazoa; Chordata; Actinopteri; Tetraodontiformes; Tetraodontidae.
GUGAUUAAAGAAAUCCCCGGACCCUGUCAGAACCUCUGAAUCAGCACACAUACACUGAGAUGUUUAAGCCAUGUUUAAGGGACCAACAGCAGAACUGAUACAGGAUCCGUCGGGAUCCGUCUCAGGAUAAUGGAAAUCCUCCUGAUGAUAGCAGGCCCAUAAACCACGCAUGUAGAGGGGAGUAGGACAUCUACAACAGGGGGACGAGGACGAGGAACUCAUGCAUCAUAAGAGACUCCAGCUCACUACCUGUUUGCCGCCCCUCCCCUCAGGAAAGAGGCUGCGGAGUACCAGGGCAAGGACCACCUGGCAGAGAAACAGCUGCUGCCCUGAUGAUGUUUUUGGGAUUUUACUCUUUGAUUUAUCAAUUAAAACAUCUCCAGCUGGAGCUUCAAUUGCAGUCCGGGCAAGGUUCUUCUGAUGGGAACAUCCUCAUCAUCCAG